CGUAGGUGGCAAACUUACCUUCAGGAUGG
This 29-nucleotide non-coding RNA is filed under the name Homo sapiens (human). Lineage: Eukaryota; Metazoa; Chordata; Mammalia; Primates; Hominidae. The record is from RNAcentral.